This is a long non-coding RNA of Acanthopagrus latus (yellowfin seabream), 512 nucleotides long. RefSeq lists it as uncharacterized. The record is from RefSeq and is a predicted model, not a curated record. NCBI's taxonomy places the organism in Eukaryota, Metazoa, Chordata, Actinopteri, Spariformes, Sparidae. The transcript is spliced from 5 exons.
ACAAACAACAGUGUAUGGCAGGACUGGUAAAGUUUGCUCAGACACAUUUUUCCAGAGCUUCAUGGAGCGGGUCAUCAGCUCCUACGAAGUGGACAAGUUGUGCUCAGAGCAACCAUUCGCCUGCACAACCUGUCCCCUCAGAUGUUGGCUGUGUCUGUGGAUGGAAACAGGAAGCACUACUGCUUCAAAAAGGGUGGACAGUCAGUGUAUAUUUCAUGUUUCAUGGUCUAGGCAUGUCCAUGUCUCAGCUCUCAUUUGUUACACCACUCUGAGGAAGGGGGUUAUUUUGACGGUGUGCUCAUCUGCAAGGAUAACGAGGUUGCAGUAUUUGCGGACGACCUCCAAAAGAGGGCCAAGCAUUUGCCAGGUAAAGGUGUUUGUGGCAGGUCUCAGCUGAACGCAGCAAAGGAGACAACAAGCAAGAGGGCUUGUUCCAGCCUUGAUGAGCAAGGUCUAAAGUAGCAGUGUGCCGUCGUGGCAUUAUCCUUCGGGCCCUGAAUAUGUACAGGCAA